GAAGAGGUAGACUUUGUGUUUGUUGCUUUUGAAUCAUUUUGCAAUUGAACUUUGGGGUUCUUAGGUGUAGUCUCGGUAAUGGGAAGUAGAAGAAAGCUUUGGAUGGUGGUUGAGAAGAAAGAAAACCGAAAAUAGGUUGGGAAGGGAGAGAGAAAUGAAGCAUUUAAUUUUUUACCUCUUUUGGACAAGCAAAAUUUGAAGCACAC
This 206-nucleotide long non-coding RNA is filed under the name Vigna radiata. RNAcentral's name for it is "long non-coding RNA (VRAD_LNC014528)". Lineage: Eukaryota; Viridiplantae; Streptophyta; Magnoliopsida; Fabales; Fabaceae. The record is from RNAcentral.